RNAcentral lists this ribosomal RNA (253 nucleotides) under uncultured bacterium. Its description in RNAcentral is "partial 16S ribosomal RNA". It matches the Rfam family "Bacterial small subunit ribosomal RNA", at positions 524 to 776 of the family's 1533-position model. The record is from RNAcentral.
UACGUAGGCAGCAAGCGUUGUUCGGAGUUACUGGGCGUAAAGGGUGCGUAGGCGGCUAUUUAAGUUUGGUGUGAAAUCUCCCGGCUCAACCGGGAGGGUGCGCCGAAUACUGAGUGGCUAGAGUGCGGGAGAGGAAAGUGGAAUUCCGGGUGUAGCGGUGGAAUGCGUAGAGAUCCGGAAGAACACCGGUGGCGAAGGCGGCCUGCUGGGCAGUUGCUGACACUGAGGCGCGACAGCGUGGGGAGCAAACAGG